CCUACGGGGGGCAGCAGUAGGGAAUAUUGCUCAAUGGGGGAAACCCUGAAGCAGCAACGCCGCGUGGAGGAUGAAGGUCUUCGGAUUGUAAACUCCUUUUGUUAGAGAAGAUAAUGACGGUAUCUAACGAAUAAGCACCGGCGAACUACGUGCCAGCAGCCGCGGUAAUACGGCGGGUGCAAGCGUUACUCGGAAUCACUGGGCGUAAAGAGCGCGUAGGCGGGAUAGCAAGUCAGAUGUGAAAUCCUAUGGCUUAACCAUAGAACUGCAUUUGAAACUGUUAUUCUAGAGUAUGGGAGAGGUAGGUGGAAUUCUUGGUGUAGGGGUAAAAUGCGUAGAGAUCAAGAGGAAUACUCAUUGCGAAGGCGACCUGCUAGAACAUAACUGACGCUGAUGCGCGAAAGCGUGGGGAGCAAACAGGAUUAGAUACCCCAGUAGUC
Molecule: ribosomal RNA, 440 nt
Filed under: uncultured bacterium
Lineage: Bacteria
Description: partial 16S ribosomal RNA
Rfam family: Bacterial small subunit ribosomal RNA
Source: RNAcentral